This is a long non-coding RNA of Pan paniscus (pygmy chimpanzee), 503 nucleotides long. The record is from Ensembl. Lineage: Eukaryota; Metazoa; Chordata; Mammalia; Primates; Hominidae.
CAGAGGUAAACACAGAAACUCAGAAGUACCAAAUAUUACUUUGAACCAGUUUCUGUUUCCAAUAGUUCCCAUAGGAAAUGCCCUAAUGAGACAAUACAUAUGUGAAACAGUUUUGUAAAGGCACAGUUUUUAAAAUGCAUUUGUAUUAUUUGCAUUGCUGACUUCUGCUAUUUUGUUGCUACAUAUCUUGGCCCAGAUUCUCAUCCCUCAGGGCCAGGAGACCAGAUUAACAACAGUCUCCAGAGAAAAGACCUCCGGGUAUUCUGCCUGUGUGGAGGGGUGGGGGUGGGGAGUGGGGAGGAGGUUCCUUCCAAUUCCCAGAGCCCAUGGACAGGAAAUCUGAUCACAGGCCACUCGGUCACUCUAAUCACGCUUUCUGUGGUCUGAGAGAGAGGCAGCUAGCAGAAGACGGCUUGGGAGAAGAGGACAGGAGGAGAGGAGAGCCUGCAACAAAGCAUGGAUCUCUCCUCAUGGCAGCUGUAGGAAACACAGGAACUCCGUGA